GGGCUAGCGUGGUUCGGAAUUACUGGGCUUAAAGCGCACGUAGGCGGCUUUGUAAGUUAGAGGUGAAAGCCCGGAGCUCAACUCCGGAAUUGCCUUUAAGACUGCAUCGCUUGAAUCCAGGAGAGGUGAGUGGAAUUCCGAGUGUAGAGGUGAAAUUCGUAGAUAUUCGGAAGAACACCAGUGGCGAAGGCGGCUCACUGGACUGGUAUUGACGCUGAGGUGCGAAAGCGUGGGGAGCAAACAGG
Molecule: ribosomal RNA, 245 nt
Filed under: uncultured bacterium
Lineage: Bacteria
Description: partial 16S ribosomal RNA
Rfam family: Bacterial small subunit ribosomal RNA
Source: RNAcentral